Molecule: non-coding RNA, 83 nt
Organism: Pundamilia nyererei
Lineage: Eukaryota; Metazoa; Chordata; Actinopteri; Cichliformes; Cichlidae
Source: the annotation of a RefSeq genome assembly
AUCAGGAUGGCCGAGUGGUUAAGGCGUUGGACUUAAGGUCCAAUGGACAACAGUCCUCGUGGGUUCAAACCCCACUCCUGGUA